AAUGAACGCUGGCGGCGCGCCUAAUACAUGCAAGUCGAGCGAGAAGACGUAGCAAUACGUUUGUAAAGCGGCGAACGGGUGAGGAAUACAUGGGUAACCUACCCUAGAGUGGGGAAUAACUAGCCGAAAGGUUAGCUAAUACCGCGUACGCUCCUUGGACUUCGGUUCAGGGAGGAAAGCGAUGCCGAGGGUAUCGCGCUCUUGGAUGGGCUCAUGUCCUAUCAGCUUGUU
This 231-nucleotide ribosomal RNA is filed under the name uncultured bacterium. RNAcentral's name for it is "partial 16S ribosomal RNA". It matches the Rfam family "Bacterial small subunit ribosomal RNA", at positions 29 to 250 of the family's 1533-position model. The record is from RNAcentral.